Long non-coding RNA from Drosophila serrata, 476 nucleotides. RefSeq lists it as uncharacterized. The record is from RefSeq and is a predicted model, not a curated record. Lineage: Eukaryota; Metazoa; Arthropoda; Insecta; Diptera; Drosophilidae.
UUUAACAAAAUGUCUCUUGACUAAAUUCCUUUAGUCAUUUUCUACUAAGCCUUCAACUUGAAAUUACUUAAAAAUUUUGUAGUUAAAAAUCUCAGAGAUCGGAUUUUCCCAGGCAAAUAUGCAGCGUUUUAUAACAUUUAUUGUGGGAGGAAUUGUUGGUUUUCUUAUUGCCAAGAAUACUCGUUAAGCAAAAUGGCUUAUAUAAUUAUUUUUGGCUUGGGCGUAGUGUUUGGCAUGUUCAUAUGCCGACGCUGCGAUCCUUGAUAACGCAGGACCCUUGGAUAUAGCGAACGAACAAAUCAUUCCAUAGAAGUUAAAUGAAAAUAUAUAAUAUAAACCAAAUUAUGUGCACAUGCCGACGUUGCCAGCUUCAAUAGCACAGAAUCCUUCAAUAUAAAGAACAUACAAUAGCCUUACGGGAAAUCCAGAUCUAUAGUAUAAAUUUUUGAUCCGAGAAUAAAUCUAUAAACUACAAA